GUUUUGCUUUGUUGGAAGACGUUCAAUUUGUGGCUGAUGUUAUGGGAAGUGUGGGACUGCAGAUAAAUCCGAGAAUGGUUGAGAUAUCCAAUUCAGUGUAUCUUGGUAGAAUCGUCUUUGAAAGUGAAAGUGACUGGAUUAUAUGGGCAGAUUUGGUGAAGAAGCUUAAAACAAUGGUUUAGGUGUUGAUGGCUAGACUGGAUGAAGUGGUUUUGCAGUUUGGAAGAGCAGCAGUUUGUUUUGAAUGAUGUUGUUGGGUUCUUUUGUUUUAAAUCUAUCAAGUUUAAUGUAAUGUUUGGAACCUUUUUUAUGUUAUAUUGAUAUUCUGUAUUUGAAUUUUAACAGAACAUGGUUUGAUAACCUUUUAUGUAAUUCCAAUAUCAUAGUUUUAUGAUUU
Molecule: long non-coding RNA, 397 nt
Organism: Vicia villosa (hairy vetch)
Lineage: Eukaryota; Viridiplantae; Streptophyta; Magnoliopsida; Fabales; Fabaceae
Exons: 3
Source: RefSeq, a predicted model, not a curated record